CAGUAGUCAUAUGCUUGUUUCAAAGAUUAAGCCAUGCAUGUCUAGUAUAAGCGACUAUACUGUGAAACUGCGAAUGGCUCAUUAAAUCAGUUAUGGUUUAUUUGAUGGUACCUUACUACUUGGAUAACCGUAGUAAUUCUAGAGCUAAUACAUGCAGGAAUUCCCGACUUCGGAAGGGAUGUAUUUAUUAGAUAAGAAACCCAUGCGGGCUUGCCCGGUUGUGUGCUGAGUCAUAAUAACUGCUCGAAUCGCACGGCCUUGCGCUGGCGAUGGUUCAUUCAAAUUUCUGCCCUAUCAGCUUUCGAUGGUAGGAUAGAGGCCUACCAUGGCGUUUACGGGUAACGGAGAAUUAGGGUUCGAUUCCGGAGAGGGAGCCUGAGAAAUGGCUACCACAUCCAAGGAAGGCAGCAGGCGCGUAAAUUGCCCAAAUCCUGACACAGGGAGGUAGUGACAAGAAAUAACAAUACAGGGCUAU
Molecule: ribosomal RNA, 475 nt
Filed under: Haptophyta environmental samples
Lineage: Eukaryota; Haptophyta
Description: SSU rRNA
Rfam family: Eukaryotic small subunit ribosomal RNA
Source: RNAcentral